Molecule: ribosomal RNA, 238 nt
Filed under: uncultured bacterium
Lineage: Bacteria
Description: partial 16S ribosomal RNA
Rfam family: Bacterial small subunit ribosomal RNA
Source: RNAcentral
GCACAAGCAGUGGAGUAUGUGGUUUAAUUCGAAGCAACGCGAAGAACCUUACCAGGUCUUGACAUCCGACUAACGAAGUAGAGAUACAUUAGGUGCCCUUUUUGGGAAAGUCGAGACAGGUGGUGCAUGGUUGUCGUCAGCUCGUGUCGUGAGAUGUUGGGUUAAGUCCCGCAACGAGCGCAACCCUUGUCAUUAGUUGCUACGUAAGAGCACUCUAAUGAGACUGCCGUUGACAAAA